Molecule: ribosomal RNA, 448 nt
Filed under: uncultured prokaryote
Description: bacterial SSU rRNA
Rfam family: Bacterial small subunit ribosomal RNA
Source: RNAcentral
UGGGGAAUUUUCCGCAAUGGGCGAAAGCCUGAUGCAGCAACGCCGUGUGAGCGAGGAAGGUCUUCGGAUCGUAAAGCUCUGUUGUUGGGGACGAAGGGCGAAGGGUUAAUAGCCCCUAGCCUGACGGUACCCUUCGAGGAAGCCCCGGCUAACUACGUGCCAGCAGCCGCGGUAAUACGUAGGGGGCGAGCGUUGUCCGGAAUUAUUGGGCGUAAAGCGUCCGCAGGUGGUGAUGCAAGUCUGCUGUUAAAGAGUGUAGCUUAACUACAUAAAGGCGGUGGAAACUGCACCACUAGAGUACGUUCGGGGCAGAGGGAAUUCCUGGUGUAGCGGUGAAAUGCGUAGAUAUCAGGAAGAACACCGGUGGCGAAAGCGCUCUGCUAGGCCGUAACUGACACUGAGGGACGAAAGCUAGGGGAGCGAAUGGGAUUAGAUACCCGUGUAGUCC